CAGUCGCCACGGUAAUACGAAGGGUGCAAGCGUUACUCGGAAUUACUGGGCGUAAAGCGUGCGUAGGUGGUGGUUUAAGUCCGUUGUGAAAGCCCUGGGCUCAACCUGGGAAUUGCAGUGGAUACUGGGUCACUAGAGUGUGGUAGAGGAUAGUGGAAUUUCCGGUGUAGCAGUGAAAUGCGUAGAGAUCGGAAGGAACGUCUGUGGCGAAGGCGACUAUCUGGGCCAACACUGACACUGAGGCACGAAAGCGUGGGGAGCAAACAGGAUUAGAUACCCCUGUAGUCCCUGUCUCUUAUAC
Molecule: ribosomal RNA, 301 nt
Filed under: uncultured bacterium
Lineage: Bacteria
Description: partial 16S ribosomal RNA
Rfam family: Bacterial small subunit ribosomal RNA
Source: RNAcentral